RNAcentral lists this ribosomal RNA (243 nucleotides) under uncultured bacterium. RNAcentral's name for it is "partial 16S ribosomal RNA". It matches the Rfam family "Bacterial small subunit ribosomal RNA", at positions 111 to 354 of the family's 1533-position model. The record is from RNAcentral.
UAACGCGUGAGGAACCUGCCUUUCGGAGGGGGACAACAGUUGGAAACGACUGCUAAUACCGCAUGAUACAUUUGGAUCGCAUGGUCUGAAUGUCAAAGAUUUAUCGCCGAAAGAUGGCCUCGCGUCUGAUUAGCUAGUUGGUGAGGUAAUGGCCCACCAAGGCGACGAUCAGUAGCCGGACUGAGAGGUUGGCCGGCCACAUUGGGACUGAGAUACGGCCCAGACUCCUACGGGAGGCAGCAG